GAAGUGCGAUAAGCAAUGCGAAUUGCAGAACCGUGAGUCAUCAGAUUUUUGAACGCAACUGGCGCUGAUUGGCUCUCCAGUCAGCAUGCUUGUUUCAGUGUCUCUUUAUCUCAUCACCCAUAUCAUAAUGCGAGAGAUACCCUUCUCUUGCUAAGCAUGAAAGUACUCUGUACUCUGCGAGUGAUCUCUUUUAGAGGUCACACUCACUGCAGUAGUCACAUUCUUGUAAUGUGAACUCAUUGAGAGUAGAGGCAGUGCAGCCUAGCUGCGAGUACUUAGACACUCAAACUUAUUUGUAUCUGAAAUCAAGCAGGAUUACCCGCUGAACUUAA
This 332-nucleotide unclassified non-coding RNA is filed under the name uncultured fungus. RNAcentral describes it as "sequence contains ITS1". The stretch from base 1 to 103 matches the Rfam family "5.8S ribosomal RNA", at positions 50 to 154 of the family's 154-position model. Lineage: Eukaryota; Fungi. The record is from RNAcentral.